AAGGAUAGAGGAGCAAAAACCAUUAGUACACAAUUGGAGGAUAAUGAGAUCCGUUGAUGAUUGUGAAAAGGGGGAUUUGCCGAAGUGGAGAGAACCUCAUUUUUCUCGAAGCUGGUUCUGUUGUUGAAUAAAUACAGAACUGUCAUGUAGUUAUCUAUAUGGAGGGCUAUCA
This 172-nucleotide non-coding RNA is filed under the name uncultured Rummeliibacillus sp. RNAcentral describes it as "Lysine riboswitch". It matches the Rfam family "Lysine riboswitch aptamer". From Rfam's summary of the family: Riboswitches are metabolite binding domains within certain messenger RNAs that serve as precision sensors for their corresponding targets. Allosteric rearrangement of mRNA structure is mediated by ligand binding, and this results in modulation of gene expression. This family includes riboswitches that sense lysine in a number of genes involved in lysine metabolism, including lysC. The record is from RNAcentral. Lineage: Bacteria; Bacillati; Bacillota; Bacilli; Caryophanales; Caryophanaceae.